AAAUAUCCAAUCUCCACCAGUCCUGUAUACUGUUCAAAGAAACCCACCUCUUUGGACAGCCAAGAGAACAAAAACCCUAAUCUUCUGAUGCUUUGGAACUUCUGCCAUGUUAAUUAUGGACUGCUUAGAGCACUGUACUUAUCCGUGUGCCCAGACAUCAGCGAGAGGCUACGGAGUGUGAAAAUCCUGUUCAGUAUUUCUUGUAUUAAAGCCUUAAAGUGUAUAACAGUAUACACUUUUUAAAAUAAUUGUAUAUUUAAACUCUUGAUUGUAUAGUGAUGCAACAAUGUUUUAUUUGGAGCUCAAUAAAAAAUUUUCAUCUAAGUUCCUGUUACA
This 336-nucleotide long non-coding RNA is filed under the name Lepidothrix coronata (blue-crowned manakin). Its description in RNAcentral is "lncRNA (ENSLCOG00000014192.1)". The record is from RNAcentral. Lineage: Eukaryota; Metazoa; Chordata; Aves; Passeriformes; Pipridae.